GUGGAGGCUAACGGCAGACCGCUACAAUCAGCUAGCGGUUAGCCGAAUGAGCCGUUAGCUAAACUAACGUUAGCUUGCCUGUCGACCGGAAGCGUGGAACAGAUCGUGCAGUGUCGUAAAUCCUCCUCAUCCUCACAUGUGCAGAAUGGAUCGUGCAGGCAGAACGGAUCGUGUACCGACAGAUUUCACAAAUUUCAGUAUGACACGUUAUGCCGUAAACAGUUUAAAUCUGAGCAUGCGCGAUUCACAUCUGCACUCGACUCACAUCGGGCAGUGACAGCACUCUGUCAUACGAGUAAGUUACCGGCAACGACGGCUACCGCUGCGAGUGCUCCUUCACUGACUGACCGUGUUUGUGAUACAAACAAUGUGUGUGCAAGUUCAUAGCGGAACACGAUUUGUCAUUAACGAUGGCCACUGUAAAAGCUAUCUGAAGCCCAAACUGCCUUGACAAAGCUGUCUGUUUGGAAUUACCAUGGCAGGUAUUUAAACAUAACGGCCUUGUCCCAGAGUUUAGACGUCUAGCUAUAUGAAAAGCUAAACAAUGCGACGUUUUUAAUAAAUGUAAAUAAAGCAGCUAAUAUCAACAUGGACAAAAUCAGGUGUAGAGUCUCAGACCUAUCCUUCCCUCGUCUCUCCACGCCAUCGCUACUCUCCUUCGACCUGCACAGAAAGGAAACUUCUCGGCUGCUCUUUACAUACACACCGCCGUCAUGAACCCACGCUACAGCAGAGUCCUGUUGGGUCUGUGGACCUGGCUCAAUGGUGUUUUUUGCCUCCAACGGCACCUUCCAGGCAGCUAACCCUAAACAAAACCAUUGCCGCGCUACCUGGAAGGAGACGUUGGGGGCAAAAAACACCAAGGACCGUGGACCUGUCCGGCUGUGGACUCCGUCCUGCUUCCCUCCAGCAGACCUCGGGCCUGGGGAAGACGGCUCUGACUCACAUCAACAUCAACAACUGCAGCUACACCUGGAGAACUGACUGUCUGCUUCUUCUUUUAAAAUACAAACAUCUUCCUCGUUUUUUAAAGCUCUUGUAAUAAUCACAUGUUUGUUUUAAAUGUUAAUGAAUGUAUUUAGCCUAUUAGUUUUAAUAAAUGAAAUGUUUUGAAAUAAAUACAGUCGUAAAUUUGAAGGACAAAACUGCAGUCAUAAAUAAACUGGCAACUGUG
Molecule: long non-coding RNA, 1174 nt
Filed under: Sander lucioperca (pikeperch)
Lineage: Eukaryota; Metazoa; Chordata; Actinopteri; Perciformes; Percidae
Description: lncRNA (ENSSLUG00000024193.1)
Source: RNAcentral